AGCAGCCGCGGUAAUUCCAGCUCCAAUAGCGUAUAUUAAAGUUGUUGCAGUUAAAAGCUCGUAGUUGAAUUUCGGGGUCAGCAGGUCGGUCGUGCCACUGGUAUGUACUGGCUUUGCUGAUUCCUCCCUCUUGACGAACCGUAAUGCCAUUAAUUUGGUGUUGCGGGAAAUCAGGACUGUUACUUUGAAAAAUUGAGUGUUUAAAGCAGGCUUACGCUUGAAUACAUUAGCAUGGAAUAAUGAAAUAGGACGUUCGAUCCUAUUUUGUUGGUUUCUAGGAUUGACGUAAUGAUUAAUAGGGAUAGUUGGGGGCUAUUAGUAUUCAAUUGUCAGAGGUGUAAAUUCUUGGAUUUAUUGAAGACUAACUACUGACG
This 374-nucleotide ribosomal RNA is filed under the name uncultured Glomeromycotina. RNAcentral describes it as "SSU rRNA". It matches the Rfam family "Eukaryotic small subunit ribosomal RNA", at positions 569 to 947 of the family's 1831-position model. The record is from RNAcentral. Lineage: Eukaryota; Fungi; Glomeromycota.